CCUACGGGAGGCAGCAGGCGCGCAAACUUUACAAUGCGAGCAAUCGUGAUAAGGAAACCCUGAGUGCCUGUCGAUGCAGGCUGUUCAUAUAUCUAAAUCAUAUGUGAAGAAAGGGCAGGGCAAGACCGGUGCCAGCAGCCGCGGUAAU
Molecule: ribosomal RNA, 148 nt
Filed under: uncultured archaeon
Lineage: Archaea
Description: partial 16S ribosomal RNA
Rfam family: Archaeal small subunit ribosomal RNA
Source: RNAcentral